Molecule: ribosomal RNA, 253 nt
Filed under: uncultured bacterium
Lineage: Bacteria
Description: partial 16S ribosomal RNA
Rfam family: Bacterial small subunit ribosomal RNA
Source: RNAcentral
UACAGAGGGGGCAAGCGUUGUUCGGAAUUACUGGGCGUAAAGGGCGCGUAGGCGGCCUGUUAAGUCGAACGUGAAAUCCCCGGGCUCAACCCGGGAACUGCGUCCGAAACUGGCAGGCUCGAAUUCGGGAGAGGGAUGCGGAAUUCCAGGUGUAGCGGUGAAAUGCGUAGAUAUACGGAGGAAUACCUGAGGCGAAGGCGGGUUGCUGGGCCAACACUGACGCUGAAGUGCGAAAGCCAGGGGAGCAAACGGG